UACAGAGGGUGCGAGCGUUAAUCGGAAUUACUGGGCGUAAAGCGUGCGUAGACGGCUAUCUAAGUCGGGUGUGAAAUCCCUGGGCUCAACCGAGGAAGUGCAUCCGAAACUGCGGAGCUUGAGUAUGGAAGAGGGUCGCGGAAUUCCCGGUGUAGAGGUGAAAUUCGUAGAUAUCGGGAGGAACACCAGUGGCGAAGGCGGCGACCUGGGCCAAUACUGACGCUGAGGUGCGAAAGCGUGGGGAGCAAACAGG
Molecule: ribosomal RNA, 253 nt
Filed under: uncultured bacterium
Lineage: Bacteria
Description: partial 16S ribosomal RNA
Rfam family: Bacterial small subunit ribosomal RNA
Source: RNAcentral